CGGACGGGUGAGUAACACGUGGAUAACCUACCCAUAAGACUGGGAUAACUUCGGGAAACCGGAGCUAAUACCGGAUAAUAUAUUGAACCGCAUGGUUCAAUAGUGAAAGACGGUUUUGCUGUCACUUAUAGAUGGAUCCGCGCUGCAUUAACUAGUUGGUAAGGUAACGGCUUACCAAGGCAACGAUGCGUAGCCGACCUGAGAGGGUGAUCGGCCACACUGGAACUGAGACACGGUCCAGACUCCUACGGGAGGCAGCAGUC
This 263-nucleotide ribosomal RNA is filed under the name uncultured Staphylococcus sp. Its description in RNAcentral is "partial 16S ribosomal RNA". It matches the Rfam family "Bacterial small subunit ribosomal RNA", at positions 99 to 355 of the family's 1533-position model. The record is from RNAcentral. Lineage: Bacteria; Bacillati; Bacillota; Bacilli; Caryophanales; Staphylococcaceae.